UCGCCUCCUGAGCUUGUACAACAGUCGUGGGAGUUGCUGCAGAAGCAAGCGAAAAGCCAGAUGAGCGCUUCUAAACUUAGA
This 81-nucleotide unclassified non-coding RNA is filed under the name Homo sapiens (human). RNAcentral describes it as "partial ghrelin antisense (ghrelinOS) variant antisense RNA". The record is from RNAcentral. Lineage: Eukaryota; Metazoa; Chordata; Mammalia; Primates; Hominidae.